GAUUUCUGGUACGAUGCCCCUGAUCCGCCUCUUCGGAGUGUGAGUGUCGGUGUGGCGUCUGCCAUCUUUGUAGGUUCUGGCUUCGGGCCUUUAUUGGUCUGGGGUUUUUGAGUCUACAUCUUUUACUUUGAAAAAAUUAGAGUGUUUAAAGCAGGCUUUUUGCUAUGAAUACAUUAGCAUGGAAUAAUAAUAUAGGACUUCGGUUCUAUUUUGUUGGUUUCUAGUACUGAAGUAAUGAUUGAUAGGGAUAGUUGGGGGUGCUAGUAUUCAGCGGCCAGAGGUGAAAUUCUUGGAUUCGCUGAAGACUAACUUAUGCGAAAGCAUU
Molecule: ribosomal RNA, 325 nt
Filed under: uncultured Pseudodifflugiidae
Lineage: Eukaryota; Endomyxa; Gromiida; Pseudodifflugiidae
Description: SSU rRNA
Rfam family: Eukaryotic small subunit ribosomal RNA (bases 114-325)
Source: RNAcentral